Molecule: long non-coding RNA, 1701 nt
Organism: Oncorhynchus keta (chum salmon)
Lineage: Eukaryota; Metazoa; Chordata; Actinopteri; Salmoniformes; Salmonidae
Exons: 4
Source: RefSeq, a predicted model, not a curated record
CACUCUUCCUGGUCUCCCCACAGCUCUCCAGGUCGCUGAGGCACUCUUCCUGGUCUCCCCACAGCUCUCCAGGUCGCUGAGGCACUCUUCCUGGUCUCCCCACAGCUCUCCAGGUCGCUGAGGCACUCUUCCUGGUCUCCCCACAGCUCUCCAGGUCGCUGAGGCACUCUUCCUGGUCUCCCCACAGCUCUCCAGGUCGCUGAGGCACUCUUCCUGGUCUCCCCACAGCUCUCCAGGUCGCUGAGGCACUCUUCCUGGUCUCCCCACAGCUCUCCAGGUCGCUGAGGCACUCUUCCUGGUCUCCCCACAGCUCUCCAGGUCGCUGAGGCACUCUUCCUGGUCUCCCCACAGCUCUCCAGGUCGCUGAGGCACUCUUCCUGGUCUCCCCACAGCUCUCCAGGUCGCUGAGGCACUCUUCCUGGUCUCCCCACAGCUCUCCAGGUCACUGAGGCACUCUUCCUGGUCUCCCCACAGCUCUCCAGGUCGUUGAGGCACUCUUCCUGGUCUCCCCACAGCUCUCCAGGUCGCUGAGGCACUCUUCCUGGUCUCCCCACAGCUCUCCAGGUCGCUGAGGCACUCUUCCUGGUCUCCCCACAGCUCUCCAGGUCGCUGAGGCACUCUUCCUGGUCUCCCCACAGCUCUCCAGGUCGCUGAGGCACUCUUCCUGGUCUCCCCACAGCUCUCCAGGUCACUGAGGCACUCUUCCUGGUCUCCCCACAGCUCUCCAGGUCGCUGAGGCACUCUUCCUGGUCUCCCCACAGCUCUCCAGGUCGCUGAGGCACUCUUCCUGGUCUCCCCACAGCUCUCCAGGUCGCUGAGGCACUCUUCCUGGUCUCCCCACAGCUCUCCAGGUCGCUGAGGCACUCUUCCUGGUCUCCCCACAGCUCUCCAGGUCGCUGAGGCACUCUUCCUGGUCUCCCCACAGCUCUCCAGGUCGCUGAGGCACUCUUCCUGGUCUCCCCACAGCUCUCCAGGUUGCUGAGGCACUCUUCCAGCAGGUCUUCCCGGCAUUAUGGCCUUCUAGAGGACAUCGUCUCGGACCGUGGCCCCCAAUUCACAACCUGAGUAUGGGAGGGCAUUCUUGGAGAAGCUCUGUGUCAUCCGGGUAUCGGCCUCAGUUUAACGGGCAGGUGGAGAUGAUAAAUCAGGAGCUGGGGAGGUUCCCAAGGAGUCACUGUCAGGACCGGCAGGGUGAAUGGGCUCGUUUCCUUCCUUGGGCAGAGUAUGCCCAGAACUCUCUACGUCACUCCUCCACUGGGUUGACCCCCUACCAGUGUGUUGGGUUUUCCAGCCGGCCCUGGCCCCAUGGACCCCGGGCCAGACCACAGCUCCUGCACCUCCUGAGUGGUUCUGGCGCGUGGUGUGGAACAAUGCACACUUGAGCCUGUGGUUGUGAAAAGCAGUGGGGCCUGUGGUUGUGAGUAGUGGUGGGGCCUGUGGUUGUGAAUAGCAGGGGGCUUGUGGUUGUGAGUAGUGAGUAGUGGUGGGGCCUGUGGUUGUGAAUAGCAGGGGGCCUGUGGUUGUGAGUAGCAGUGGGCUUGUGGUUGUGAGUAGUGGUGGGGCCUGUGGUUGUGAGUAGUGGUGGGGCCUGUGGUUGUGAAUAGUGGUGGGGCCUGUGGUUGUGAGUAGUGGUGGGGCCUGUGGUUGUGAGUAGUGGUGGGGCCUGUGGUUGUGAAUAGUGGUGGGGCCUGUGGUUGUGAG